UAUUACCUGCCAAGCUCGGUGGUCAAGCAGUUAUAUGUUUUAACUUCAGCCGUUAAUGACUGAAAACUGUAAAAAUGCAGUUAUGUGCUUUUCUUCUGCUGAGUUUGGCUGUGGCUUUUUGUCUUGCAUCACCAAUGCCCCCACUAGAUAUAAAUGGCACUGAGAAAUGGAAGGACAUACCAGAUAUAAAUAAAGG
Molecule: long non-coding RNA, 196 nt
Organism: Ctenopharyngodon idella (grass carp)
Lineage: Eukaryota; Metazoa; Chordata; Actinopteri; Cypriniformes; Xenocyprididae
Exons: 4
Source: RefSeq, a predicted model, not a curated record